RNAcentral lists this ribosomal RNA (254 nucleotides) under uncultured bacterium. RNAcentral describes it as "partial 16S ribosomal RNA". It matches the Rfam family "Bacterial small subunit ribosomal RNA", at positions 524 to 776 of the family's 1533-position model. The record is from RNAcentral.
UACGUAGGGUGCGAGCGUUGUCCGGAUUUAUUGGGCGUAAAGAGCUCGUAGGCGGUUUGUCGCGUCGGCCGUGAAAUCUCCACGCUUAACGUGGAGCGUGCGGUCGAUACGGGCAGACUUGAGUUCGGUAGGGGAGACUGGAAUUCCUGGUGUAGCGGUGAAAUGCGCAGAUAUCAGGAGGAACACCGGUGGCGAAGGCGGGUCUCUGGGCCGAUGACUGACGCUGAGGAGCGAAAGCGUGGGGAGCGAACAGG